Molecule: ribosomal RNA, 329 nt
Filed under: uncultured eukaryote
Lineage: Eukaryota
Description: partial 18S ribosomal RNA
Rfam family: Eukaryotic small subunit ribosomal RNA
Source: RNAcentral
CCCUUAGAUGUUCUGGGCCGCACGCGCGCUACACUGUUUGAUUCAGCGAGUCUUAACCUUGACCGAAAGGUUUGGGUAAUCUUCUAAAGUCAAACGUGCUGGGGAUCGAUCAUUGCAAUUAUUGAUCGUGAACGAGGAAUUCCUAGUAAAUGCAAGUCAUCAGCUUGCGUUGAUUACGUCCCUGCCCUUUGUACACACCGCCCGUCGCUACUACCGAUUGAAUGGUUUAGUGAGAUCUCCGGAUUGGCUCUGUAGGUCCCGCAAGGGAUUUAUUAGUAGCCAAGAAGCUGCUCAAACUUGAUCAUUUAGAGGAAGUAAAAGUCGUAACA